UAUACGAAGAAUUUCCAUAACGCAUCUGUCGUAUGGGUGUGAAUCUGCGUCCCAAAUGCGCUCGUCAGACGAUGUAAACACGUGUAGCUGGUAUUCCCGAUGAUGGCGAUCUUUUGAUGAUUUAUCAGAGUAAUUUGAAAAGUGUCACACUGAUUUGAAAAAAAAUGCUGGAAGAAAAUCUGGUACCUGCUUUGUCUUGAGAUUUACAUAAAUGAUGUUCUUAUUGGUGAUCAUUUACCCGCACCCUUAUCCUGGUGUCAUAUACAAGAUGAAAUGAUGGAAAGAAAAACCUGAACUUUAGGAACAGGAAGACUGUGUUUUUGAAGAGAGAAGAGGACCAGAACUAAGAAGUCAUACAAUAAACACAUUGACAUCAUAAAAAGAAAUUGCAAUUUUGAGUUUGCAUGCAUAUGUCAGGUUUAAAUGUUGUCACAUAAUUUUUAUUCAGAAAGUCCCUUUAUCUUCUUGAAUUAAUAAAACAAAU
Magallana angulata is the source of this 484-nucleotide long non-coding RNA. RefSeq lists it as uncharacterized. The transcript is spliced from 3 exons. The record is from RefSeq and is a predicted model, not a curated record. NCBI's taxonomy places the organism in Eukaryota, Metazoa, Mollusca, Bivalvia, Ostreida, Ostreidae.